CGUGCUUAACACAUGCAAGUCGAACGGAAAGGCCCUGCUUUUGUGGGGUGCUCGAGUGGCGAACGGGUGAGUAACACGUGAGUAACCUGCCCUUGACUUUGGGAUAACUUCAGGAAACUGGGGCUAAUACCGGAUAGGAGCUCCUGCUGCAUGGUGGGGGUUGGAAAGUUUCGGCGGUUGGGGAUGGACUCGCGGCUUAUCAGCUUGUUGGUGGGGUAGUGGCUUACCAAGGCUUUGACGGGUAGCCGGCCUGAGAGGGUGACCGGCCACAUUGGGACUGAGAUACGGCCCAGACUCCUACGGGAGGCAGCAGUGGGGAAUAUUGCACAAUGGGCGGAAGCCUGAUGCAGCAACGCCGCGUGCGGGAUGACGGCCUUCGGGUUGUAAACCGCUUUCGCCUGUGACGAAGCGUGAGUGACGGUAAUGGGUAAAGAAGCACCGGCUAACUACGUGCCAGCAGCCGCGGUGAUACGUAGGGUGCGAGCGUUGUCCGGAUUUAUUGGGCGUAAAGGGCUCGUAGGUGGUUGAUCGCGUCGGAAGUGUAAUCUUGGGGCUUAACCCUGAGCGUGCUUUCGAUACGGGUUGACUUGAGGAAGGUAGGGGAGAAUGGAAUUCCUGGUGGAGCGGUGGAAUGCGCAGAUAUCAGGAGGAACACCAGUGGCGAAGGCGGUUCUCUGGGCCUUUCCUGACGCUGAGGAGCGAAAGCGUGGGGAGCGAACAGGCUUAGAUACCCUGGUAGUCCACGCUGUAAACGGUGGGUACUAGGUGUGGGGUCCAUUCCACGGGUUCCGUGCCGUAGCUAACGCUUUAAGUACCCCGCCUGGGGAGUACGGCCGCAAGGCUAAAACUCAAAGGAAUUGACGGGGCCCCGCACAAGCGGCGGAGCAUGCGGAUUAAUUCGAUGCAACGCGUAGAACCUUACCUGGGUUUGACAUGGAUCGGGAGUGCUCAGAGAUGGGUGUGCCUCUUUUGGGGUCGGUUCACAGGUGGUGCAUGGCUGUCGUCAGCUCGUGUCGUGAGAUGUUGGGUUAAGUCCCGCAACGAGCGCAACCCUUGUUCACUGUUGCCAGCACGUUAUGGUGGGGACUCAGUGGAGACCGCCGGGGUCAACUCGGAGGAAGGUGGGGAUGACGUCAAGUCAUCAUGCCCCUUAUGUCCAGGGCUUCACGCAUGCUACAAUGGCUGGUACAGAGAGUGGCGAGCCUGUGAGGGUGAGCGAAUCUCGGAAAGCCGGUCUCAGUUCGGAUUGGGGUCUGCAACUCGACCUCAUGAAGUCGGAGUCGCUAGUAAUCGCAGAUCAGCAACGCUGCGGUGAAUACGUUCCCGGGGCUUGUACACACCGCCCGUCAAGUCAUGAAAGUUGGUAACACCCGAAGCCGGUGGCCUAACCGUUGUGGGGGAGCCGUCGAAGGUGGGACUGGUGAUUAGGACUAAGUC
This 1437-nucleotide ribosomal RNA is filed under the name uncultured organism. Its description in RNAcentral is "16S ribosomal RNA". It matches the Rfam family "Bacterial small subunit ribosomal RNA". The record is from RNAcentral.